This 373-nucleotide ribosomal RNA is filed under the name uncultured Glomeromycotina. Its description in RNAcentral is "LSU rRNA". Lineage: Eukaryota; Fungi; Glomeromycota. The record is from RNAcentral.
UUGAAAGGGAAACGAUUGAAGUCAGUCGUACCUAUGGGCAAUCAGCCUUUUGGGUGUGAUUUUGUGGAGCGUGAGGAGUUAAACGCCUUCAUGCCUGCAUAUUCGUGCACUUUGGGUGUACUUGCCCGUAUGGUUGGUUAACAUCAAUUUUGGUGGUCAUAAAAUGACUGGAGGAAUGUAGCUUCGAUCUCGUAUUGAAGUGUUAUAGCCUUCGGUAGAUGUGAUGAUCGAGAUUGAGGAUUGCAACGGAUACCCUUCGGGGCUACCUGUCUGAUCUCUGAUCGUUGCUCUGGUGCCGAAAGCUUGCUUACGGUUAUCAAAGUCGAUGGUCAAUAGGUUAGAACGGGUUAAAUUCGUUAAGGAUGUUGACGUA